Molecule: microRNA precursor, 143 nt
Filed under: Gossypium raimondii (Peruvian cotton)
Lineage: Eukaryota; Viridiplantae; Streptophyta; Magnoliopsida; Malvales; Malvaceae
Description: miR8726 stem-loop (gra-MIR8726)
Source: miRBase by way of RNAcentral
CAGCUCGAGGUUUUGUCUCCUGAUUCCAUCGAGAGCAGCACGGGAUUCACUUGAUCAGGUUAUCAGCACAAUCAGACAAGGCACCCCCACUCCGCAAAUCCCGCACGGUUCUCGAUGGAGUCUGGAGACAAAACCCAGACCAA